Molecule: ribosomal RNA, 253 nt
Filed under: uncultured bacterium
Lineage: Bacteria
Description: partial 16S ribosomal RNA
Rfam family: Bacterial small subunit ribosomal RNA
Source: RNAcentral
UACGAAGGGGGCUAGCGUUGUUCGGAAUUACUGGGCGUAAAGCGUACGUAGGCGGAUUGUUAAGUGAGGGGUGAAAUCCCGAGGCUCAACCUCGGAACUGCCUUUGAUACUGGAGAUCUUGAGUCCGGAAGAGGUAAGUGGAACUGCGAGUGUAGAGGUGAAAUUCGUAGAUAUUCGCAAGAACACCAGUGGCGAAGGCGGCUUACUGGUCCGGAACUGACGCUGAGGUGCGAAAGCGUGGGGAGCAAACAGG